UACGGAGGGAGCUAGCGUUGUUCGGAAAUACUGGGCGUAAAGCGAACGUAGGCGGCUACGUAAGUCAGGGGUGAAAUCCCGGGGCUCAACCCCGGAACUGCCUUUGAAACUGCAUAGCUAGAAUCCUGGAGAGGUCAGUGGAAUUCCGAGUGUAGAGGUGAAAUUCGUAGAUAUUCGGAAGAACACCAGUGGCGAAGGCGACUGGCUGGACAGGUAUUGACGCUGAGGUUCGAAAGCGUGGGGAGCAAACAGG
Molecule: ribosomal RNA, 253 nt
Filed under: uncultured bacterium
Lineage: Bacteria
Description: partial 16S ribosomal RNA
Rfam family: Bacterial small subunit ribosomal RNA
Source: RNAcentral